RNAcentral lists this ribosomal RNA (433 nucleotides) under uncultured bacterium. RNAcentral's name for it is "partial 16S ribosomal RNA". It matches the Rfam family "Bacterial small subunit ribosomal RNA", at positions 29 to 507 of the family's 1533-position model. The record is from RNAcentral.
AACGAACGCUGGCGGCAGGCUUAACACAUGCAAGUCGAACGCACCUUUCGGGGUGAGUGGCAGACGGGUGAGUAACGCGUGGGAAUCUACCCUUCUCUACGGGAUAGCUCCGGGAAACUGGAAUUAAUACCGUAUACGUCCUGAGGGAGAAAGAUUUAUCGGGGAAGGAUGAGCCCGCGUUGGAUUAGCUAGUUGGUGGGGUAAAGGCCUACCAAGGCGACGAUCCAUAGCUGGUCUAAGAGGAUGAUCAGCCACAUUGGGACUGAGACACGGCCCAAACUCCUACGGGAGGCAGCAGUGGGGAAUAUUGGACAAUGGGCGCAAGCCUGAUCCAGCCAUGGCGCGUGAGUGAUGAAGGCCCUAGGGUUGUAAAGCUCUUUCAGUGGGGACGAUAAUGACGGUACCCACAGAAGAAGCCCCGGCUAACUUCGUG